GGACCAUUAGCUCAGUUGGUUAGAGCGUCCGGCUCAUAACCGGAUGGUCCGGGGUUCAAGCCCCUGAUGGUCCA
RNAcentral lists this transfer RNA (74 nucleotides) under Roseburia hominis. RNAcentral describes it as "tRNA-Ile". It matches the Rfam family "tRNA". From Rfam's summary of the family: Transfer RNA (tRNA) molecules are approximately 80 nucleotides in length. Their secondary structure includes four short double-helical elements and three loops (D, anti-codon, and T loops). Lineage: Bacteria; Bacillati; Bacillota; Clostridia; Lachnospirales; Lachnospiraceae. The record is from RNAcentral.